This 366-nucleotide ribosomal RNA is filed under the name uncultured eukaryote. RNAcentral's name for it is "partial 18S ribosomal RNA". It matches the Rfam family "Eukaryotic small subunit ribosomal RNA", at positions 592 to 976 of the family's 1831-position model. The record is from RNAcentral.
CAAUAGCGUAUAUUAACGUUGUUGCAGUUAAAAAGCUCGUAGUUGGAUUUCUGGAGGGAGCGUCGGCCCGUAUUUACGAGUGCGUGACGUCUCUGUCCAUCCUUGCGGGAAGGCACGGCAUUGAUUUGUUGUGUCGGAUCGCAUCAUUUACUGUGAAAAAAUUAGAGUGUUCAAAGCAGGCUUUCGCUUGAAUACAUUAGCAUGGAAUAAUAAGAUAGGACUUUGGUGCUAUUUUGUUGGUUGAGCCUAAAGUAAUGAUUAAUAGGGAUAGUUGGGGGCACCUGUAUUGCGUUGUCAGAGGUGAAAUUCUUGGAUUUACGCAAGACAAACAGCUGCGAAAGCAUUUGCCAAGGAUGUUUUCAUUGA